This 21-nucleotide non-coding RNA is filed under the name Caenorhabditis elegans. The record is from RNAcentral. Lineage: Eukaryota; Metazoa; Nematoda; Chromadorea; Rhabditida; Rhabditidae.
UUCCACUAUACCACUGUCUGU